AACACUGUCUCCAGAUAUGGCGUUCCCUCCAGUUAGAACGGACCAUGGAGGAGAAAACAACACUGUCUCCAGAUAUGGCAUUCCCUCCAGAGUUAGAAUGGACCAUGGAGGAGAAAACAACACUGUCUCCAGAUAUGGCGUUCCCUCCAGAGUUAGAACGGACCAUGGAGGAGAAAACAACACUGUCUCCAGAUAUGGCGUUCCCUCCAGUUAGAACGGACCAUGGAGGAGAAAACAACACUGUCUCCAGAUAUGGCAUUCCCUCCAGAGUUAGAACAGACCAUGGAGGAGAAAACAACACUGUCUCCAGAUAUGGCGUUCCCUCCAGAGUUAGAACGGACCAUGGAGGAGAAAACAACACUGUCUCCAGAUAUGGCGUUCCCUCCAGAGUUAGAACGGACCAUGGAGGAGAAAACAACACUGUCUCCAGAUAUGCCGUUCCCUCCAGAGUUAGAACGGACCAUGGAGGAGAAAACAACACUGUCUCCAGAUAUGGCGUUCCCUCCAGAGUUAGAACGGACCAUGGAGGAGAAAACAACACUGUCUCCAGAUAUGGCGUUCCCUCCAGUUAGAAAGGACCAUGGAGGAGAAAACAACACUGUCUCCAGAUAUGGCGUUCCCUCCAGUUAGAACGGACCAUGGAGGAGAAAACAACACUGUCUCCAGAUAUGGCGUUCCCUCCAGAGUUAGAAUGGACCAUGGAGGAGAAAACAACACUGUCUCCAGAUAUGGCGUUCCCUCCAGUUAGAACGGACCAUGGAGGAGAAAACAACACUGUCUCCAGAUAUGGCGUUCCCUCCAGAGUUAGAACGGACCAUGGAGGAGAAAACAACACUGUCUCCAGAUAUGGCGUUCCCUACAGAGUUAGAACGGACCAUGGAGGAGAAAACAACACUGUCUCCAGAUAUGGCGUUCCCUCCAGAGUUAGAACGGACCAUGGAGGAGAAAACAACACUGUCUCCAGAUAUGGCGUUCCCUCCAGUUAGAAAGGACCAUGGAGGAGAAAACAACACUGUCUCCAGAUAUGGCGUUCCCUCCAGUUAGAACGGACCAUGGAGGAGAAAACAACACUGUCUCCAGAUAUGGCGUUCCCUCCAGAGUUAGAAUGGACCAUGGAGGAGAAAACAACACUGUCUCCAGAUAUGGCGUUCCCUCCAGUUAGAACGGACCAUGGAGGAGAAAACAACACUGUCUCCAGAUAUGGCGUUCCCUCCAGAGUUAGAACGGACCAUGGAGGAGAAAACAACACUGUCUCCAGAUAUGGCGUUCCCUACAGAGUUAGAACGGACCAUGGAGGAGAAAACAACACUGUCUCCAGAUAUGGCGUUCCCUCCAGAGUUAGAACGGACCAUGGAGGAGAAAACAACACUGUCUCCAGAUAUGGCGUUCCCUCCAGUUAGAACGGACACACUUGUGGCAGCACCUAUUCCUGUGCCUCCUCCCAUCUUCUGCACCACUUCCUGUGGCCUCCCCUUCCCCAUUCCCCAAGGCUUAUCGUCCACCUUCACCACACUCUUCUGUUGAUGUUGGUGAUGACAGUGAUGUUGACCUCCAAACACUGCUGAAGUUAAUGAGAUGCCAACCAAAUUAACGUGAUGAGGGACAACAUUUAUGAUUGUGCAAUGAGAGCCUUUAAGAGAGUCCGCUUUAAUCCGGAGGCAAAAAUAGACAUGGUUUUUAGGGACGCUGAUGGAAAAGGGGCAGCUGAUGAGGGUGGUCCCUCAAGAGAAUUUAUCCGGCUGCUAAUGAGUGCAAUCCAUUCCUCUGCAAUAUUUGAGGGACCUGAUUGGCAAAAAUGUCUUUCUUGCAACUCUCAAGGUGAGUUACACUUUUACACCAACAAAGACACGUUUGUUUAUGGUAAUAUAUGACUUGAGUAAGACAUUUGAUUUUUGAAUGUAAUGUGUCCUUUAUUUACUGUUUUUCUUCUGUGUGACAGCACUCUAUGAUGGCGUAUACAAGCAGGUGGGCCGCAUGAUUGCUGUCUGUCUGGUACAUGGGGGUGUAGAGCUACAUUUUUUCAGAGGCUAUAAAUUAGCAAAACAAUAAACUGAUCACUACCCUCAAAAAAGAUUGACUGGGCCUCCUGGGUGGCGCAGUGGUUAAGGGCGCUGUACUGCAGCGUCAGCUGUGCCACCAGAGAAUCUUUCUGAAGUGUGUGGCCUACAACCUCCUGUGCCAGAACUGAAAGAAAUUGCAGAAUAGGACUUCUGAAAGAAGUUGGAGAAGGGGGGAACACAUACCCUUUAACCAUGGAGAAGGUUUAUAUUUUCAAGUCGGGGGCUUCAGCAUUCCUAGGCUGGGAUUGCCAGUGGAGCCACAGCUACAAUUCUCUCUGCUACCGCACGGAAAGUGGUACCGGAGCACCAAGUCUAGGUCUGUCACGACUUC
Oncorhynchus gorbuscha (pink salmon) is the source of this 2391-nucleotide long non-coding RNA. RefSeq lists it as uncharacterized. The record is from RefSeq and is a predicted model, not a curated record. Lineage: Eukaryota; Metazoa; Chordata; Actinopteri; Salmoniformes; Salmonidae. The transcript is spliced from 3 exons.